UACGUAGGUGGCGAGCGUUAUCCGGAUUUACUGGGUGUAAAGGGUGUGUAGGCGGGAGUGCAAGUCGGAUGUGAAAAUCAUGGGCUCAACCCAUGACCUGCAUUUGAAACUGCGUUUCUUGAGGGUCGGAGAGGUAACCGGAACUCCUGGUGUAGCGGUGAAAUGCGUAGAUAUCAGGAGGAACACCGGUGGCGAAGGCGGGUUACUGGACGAUUACUGACGCUGAGACACGAAAGCGUGGGGAGCAAAC
Molecule: ribosomal RNA, 250 nt
Filed under: uncultured prokaryote
Description: partial 16S ribosomal RNA
Rfam family: Bacterial small subunit ribosomal RNA
Source: RNAcentral